Molecule: ribosomal RNA, 474 nt
Filed under: uncultured bacterium
Lineage: Bacteria
Description: bacterial SSU rRNA
Rfam family: Bacterial small subunit ribosomal RNA
Source: RNAcentral
GGACGAACGCUGGCGGCGUGCCUAACACAUGCAAGUCGAGCGAGGAGAUCCUUCGGGAUGAUCCUAGCGGCGGACGGGUGAGUAACACGUGGGCAACCUGCCUCAUAGAGAGGAAUAGCCUUCCGAAAGGGAGAUUAAUACCUCAUAACAUUGCAGUUUCGCAUGGAACAGCAAUUAAAGGAGUAAUCCGCUAUGAGAUGGGCCCGCGGCGCAUUAGCUAGUUGGUGAGGUAACGGCUCACCAAGGCGACGAUGCGUAGCCGACCUGAGAGGGUGAUCGGCCACAUUGGGACUGAGACACGGCCCAGACUCCUACGGGAGGCAGCAGUGGGGAAUAUUGCACAAUGGGGGAAACCCUGAUGCCAGCAACGCCGCGUGAGUGAUGACGGCCUUCGGGUUGUAAAGCUCUGUCUUCAGGGACGAUAAUGACGGUACCUGAGGAGGAAGCCACGGCUAACUACGUGCCAGCCGCCGC